RNAcentral lists this long non-coding RNA (1593 nucleotides) under Gallus gallus (chicken). Lineage: Eukaryota; Metazoa; Chordata; Aves; Galliformes; Phasianidae. The record is from RNAcentral.
CUAGUUUGAGGCUAAGUCCUAUUUUGGGCCGAUGCUCCUCUGGCUGUUGCUGAUCAGGUGAAUUUUCAUGGGGGAUAAUAAUGCCACAGGGAGAUUCAUCACCAGGUGUGUUAGGGGUUGCAUUUCCACUAGCAGAAGAAACAGAUGGGGCAGAACUAAUUGGUCGUAAUGUUGGUUUAAGGCAGGGCUUUUGUUCAGGCUCUUCCUCUUCUUCCUCCGGUUCUUCUCUUUUUUCUUCUUUUUCUGCUUUUUCCUCCUCCUCCUCCUCAGACUCUGGCUCUUGUUUGAUUUGUGGCUGCCUACGGCGCUCAGCCUCCUGCUCCAUCCUCUGGAGUUCUGCAUCUGGAUCUGGGUGUCCUUCUGCAAGAAGGCGCUGCCUGAUUUCUUCUAAUUCUUCCUUUUCUCUCUUCCUAUCCCGCUCAUCUGCUUCCAUCUCUUUCUCUCGGUCUCGGAGUCUCUUCUGAAGAGCACUACCCCUGUAGUAUUUUGGAUCAUCUCUGUCAUCAUCAUAAUCUUCUAAGAAUUCUUUUAACCGUUUAGCUUCUUUUGCCAUCUCCCUCCUUCUUUCUUCUUCCCUUUCAGCCUCUUUUUCAUAUUCUCGACUUUUCUUCCUCUCUCUGAUUUCCCAGUUUUUAAGACGCUCUUGAUACGCAGCUUCCUUUUCCCGCAGCUUCCUCUCUAACUUUCGGCGUUCAUAGGCAUCUUCUUCAUCUUCUUCUCUGUCUCUCUUUUUAUCCUUUUCUCGUUCUCGUUCCCGUUCUCUUUCCCGUUCUCGUUCCCGUUCCCUUUCACGCUCCCUUUCUCGCUCUCGUUCUCUUUCCCUGUCUCUGCUUUUUUCUCUUGAUCUGCUCCGAUCCUUGUUGCGAUCCGAACUUCUUUCACGAUCUCUGUCCCGAUCUCUGUCCCGUUCUCGGUCUCUGUCCCGGUCCUUAGUUCGGUCACGAUCCCUAUCUCGCUCCCGUUCACGCUCCCGUUCCUUUUCCUUCUCUCGUUCACGCUCCCGUUCCCUUUCUCUUUCACGCUCUCUCCUUUCUCGUUCACGCUCCCGUUCCCUUUCUCUUUCUCUGCGUUCUUUUUCAAUUUCCUGUCUUUCUUUCUCCUUUUUGCCUUUUUCCUCCUCCAGUUUCUUGUGUGUGUCUCUGAAUUUACUGAUCUCUCUUGAUAUCAGGUCUCUUUUGUCUUCCUCCAUUUCUAUAGCAUUUAUAUCCUCGUCCUCCUUCUUUUCCUUUUUCUUCUUCCUGGGGUGAGAGUCAGAUUCCUGGGAGGGGGCAUUGAGCUCGCUGGAAUAUUCUCGUAUUAAGACAUCAAUGGCCCCUUUAAUUAUCUGAUCUCUUCUCUUUGUUUCCUCAUCCAGUGCUUCGUCAUCAUCAUUUGUAGUCUCUGGUCUGGAAUUCCCAUUAGAGGCCUUUUUCUUUGCUUUCCAUUCAUCUAGCUGAGCCUUUGUCUUUGCAUCAACUUUUACUAGUAGCUUCUUCUCUCCUAUCUGGAGGUCAUGAAGUAGUCUCAGUGCCCGUAGUGUGGAUUCUGGUUCUUUGUAUUCACAAAAUCCAAAAGCUUGAAGUUUUCCAGAUGCCCCUUGCACUCUCUUCCAAC